RNAcentral lists this ribosomal RNA (330 nucleotides) under uncultured eukaryote. RNAcentral describes it as "partial 18S ribosomal RNA". It matches the Rfam family "Eukaryotic small subunit ribosomal RNA", at positions 1470 to 1796 of the family's 1831-position model. The record is from RNAcentral.
CCCUUAGAUGUUCUGGGCCGCACGCGCGCUACACUGAUGCAUUCAACGAGUCUAAAACCUGGUCUGAUAGGGCUGGGUAAUCUUUUGAAAGUGCAUCGUGAUGGGGAUAGAUGAUUGCAAUUCUUCAUCUUCAACGAGGAAUGCCUAGUAAACGCAAGUCAUCAGCUUGCAUUGAUUACGUCCCUGCCCUUUGUACACACCGCCCGUCGCUCCUACCGAUUGAAUGAUCCGAUGAAUACCAUGGAUUGAGAGUACGAAUGGGUUCGCUCAUUUCUGCUGCUCGAGAAGUGGAGUAAAUCUUAUCAUUUAGAGGAAGGAGAAGUCGUAACA